Molecule: ribosomal RNA, 120 nt
Filed under: Esox lucius (northern pike)
Lineage: Eukaryota; Metazoa; Chordata; Actinopteri; Esociformes; Esocidae
Source: RNAcentral
ACUUACGGCCACACCUCCCUGAGCAACGCCCGAUCUCGUCUGAUCAUCGAAGCUAAGCAGGGUCGGGCCCGGUUAGUACUUGGAUGGGAGACCGCCUGGGAAUACCAGGUGCUGUAAGCC